UACCAUCCUCCAGCCCUUGUACAGAGCACACACUGAACGUUGACUUCUGAACCAGAGCACUGGGUGGGAGUGUGGCUCAGUGGUUGAAAAUGUGGGCAUUAUGUGUUGUGCAGGCUCUGGGGUUGAUCCCUAGCACCAGAAAGGAAGGAAAGAAGUCCUAUAUUCCAGUUGAUUAUAUUACUUCAGGAAGAAGCAUUUUAAUUACUCUCCCAAGGAGUGAAGGACUUAGUUCCAAGAGAAUCAACAACUUUGAAUUAGGGACAUUUCCAUGGCUCUGCCACUUUUUUUUUUUUUUCCAAGAUUAUCUUUCCCAAUUUUACUACCCAGAAAGGCCUCUGACACAUGUGGCAACCCUCCUGAAGUAAUCAAAGUUGCAGAAAGAAAUGGGAAGCUUAAAAGAAUUUCCCCUUUUCAUCUAGGAGGGGAGGGCUAUUUUCCCCUCCUCAAAGCUAAACCCACACAGAUUCCUCAAAAGCAUGGGGACAAAGAAAUCAAGCUGGGCAUAUUAUGUGACUUGAUCUGUUGUCAACCUCUGCCUGGCAGCACUGUGGGCGCUCCAGAGCAUUGGUAAGGGGACAGACAGGAGGAAGCAAGUCCCAGCUGCCAAAGCAAGGAUCCUUGGCAGGCCAAGGACCAUGACCCACAUGUGGGAAUUUAACAGUAGGAAGGGGAAUGAGACAGGUGUUAUUUGAGAUGCCUUCAUGAUCAGAUCCCUCAAAGCUCAGAAGGGCCAUCACAGCCCAUGUGUCACUCAAAGUUAAAGCCCAUGCACAUGAUAUGCAUGUGGACUUCUCUUUCUGUUAAGCAUUGCCUUUCCCCCAGGUGAAAUUCUGAAAAUAAAGACAGUCCCUGACAGACCACAAAGAUGGAUGUUACAAUACAACAAUAUCUCAACACAUAUGUACCUCUAAACCAUGGACAAUAACGCCAGGAAGAUUUGGAGGUGACCAGUUUUUGAGUUGGCUGAACAUUGGCCCUGGGGGUAAAAGAUCCUAAAAGCAUGAUCUAGGGACCUUAUGGGCCUAGAAGGUAGGAUUCUUUAGAAUCACAGGUCUAAUUGGCAUAGCCACACAGCCUUGGCUGGCCCCAUGAUGACUCAGCUUGCUGUAUGGCCUCUUUAUAAAAUAGAUCUGGGAUUGGGUACCCACUUACUUAGUCCCAGUUGGGCUAGUUCUUCAAGCUGAG
Molecule: long non-coding RNA, 1185 nt
Organism: Perognathus longimembris pacificus (Pacific pocket mouse)
Lineage: Eukaryota; Metazoa; Chordata; Mammalia; Rodentia; Heteromyidae
Exons: 3
Source: RefSeq, a predicted model, not a curated record